Zonotrichia albicollis (white-throated sparrow) is the source of this 12890-nucleotide non-coding RNA. The record is from RefSeq and is a predicted model, not a curated record. Lineage: Eukaryota; Metazoa; Chordata; Aves; Passeriformes; Passerellidae.
CUGCAGCUCAGUCUAUGCAGACAGACAGGUGAGAGUCCUGCACUCACAGCAGCUUGAGCUGGAGAGGUGAGGGAUGCAGUAAUGGAUCUUACAGCAGGGCAAGAGCAUUGGCUUUUGGGCAGCCCUGCCAUUAACUUCAGCACUCUGAGAAGCAGAAGACUGUCAUGUAAAAGCACCAUCCUUAACUGAGUGUUGUGUAGCCUCCACCGCUUGUAGGAAAUGAGAUGGAGUCUAACUGAUGAUGGCAGUGGCCAAAUCCCAUUCCAGGCUCACUCCUCUCUUCCCCUUGUUCGUAGACACUAUUCUUAGCAAUGCCUCCAGGCAGGGCUCCUGUACACUGAUGGAUUUCAGCAGCUGAGAGGUGACCUGACCUGCUUGCUUAAAAGGAAGAGGAAGGACUAGGAGCAGAAGAUUUCAGCAUCAGGACAAGAAGAUUUGGGCUGUGAGUUUGCAGAGCUGUGCUAUAUACUUACCAUGGAUUCUCUCUGGGAUCAAGCCCUGUGCUGUAAAGUCAGAGGUAGCUUUACCCUCACUUCAGUGCUCACAGGAUCCAGCCAGCCUUUGGUGACUAUCAGACAUAAAACAGGCAUGACCCAGAGCUCCUGUGCAAUUACUGAGGCAUCUCACAAUGUGUGUUAACUCUGCACAGCACCUGGGGAAAACGUUUAUCUCAGCUAAACAAGACACUUCUUGCACACCAGUGCUUGCAUUCAGUAGCAGAAUGUGCGGGAAAGCAGAAGGGCAAUCCGGGACAAGAAUAUUUAGGCUACAAUACAGAAACUGAAGCUGUCUCUGAGGCUGCAGCAGCUCUUUCUGGGGAUGCAAACCUUCUCUGAAGGACUGGGAAAUGCAGAGCACAAAAGGACUGAGGAUUUUGUGUGGGAAACUGUGAGUGUGCUUUAAGAAAGGAAGAGUAUGAUUAGAGAACAACAGGCGGAUUUUAAAGUCUCACCUGCUCAGGAGCAAAAGAAGAAAAUUAUUUUUUAGAGGUGAACCAGAAGCCACGGGUUUGCCACCUUGGAAAUAAAUUUACAACAUCAGCAAAUGCUUUUUGAGUGCCCCAGUGAGGUAAGCAACUUGCUGCUUCCUUUCUGUUUUCACCCACGUGUGACUGCAUGAGCCCUCUGUCUCUGCAAGAGCACGACUUUUACUACUCUGGCAGCAGAAAAACAUGAAACCACAUCUGCCUCAGUUCUCCAUCAUUUUUCAUGCCUGCACAGCACACAUGGGGUGUGCCUUGGACCAGGGGCUGUGUCAGGUAAGAACUGCCACAUCACAGCUGCAUUGCACGCACCCUGGGAGGACCCAGACAGCAUCCUGGGGCAGGGCAUUGAUGGCUCCAGGGACAGGAGCCCAGCCAGGGACACCAUCGAGGAGAGCUGUCAGGUGGGGACAGCGUGGGCUGAAGGCUUUUCCCUCACCUCCACGCACACAGCUGCAAUAUCCCCAGCAUGUCCUGGCACUUAAACCAGUAAGAGCAGAUUUUCACAGUGAUGAACACGGGGGAAAAGAGACACAGAGGGACAUUUUGUGAGGGCUAAACACCCACACUAGCUUUGCAGAAGUUGUUUUGCUUUCCACCUGCUUAUUCCCACCCACUUAGGCAACUUAAUACUGACUUUUCAUUCAAAUUUUUUUUAAAAAAAAAGCAUUUGAAACAAAAUGAGCUAAUUACAGAGUAAAUAUUUAGCUUGAAAUGAGCAGACAGAUAUUCAAAGCCAUUUUCUGACAUGACAGAUGAUCUGAAAGGAGCUAUGCUGCAGGCAUUGUGUGCCGAUCAAACCCAAUUUAAAACUACAAGGCAUAGAAGCAAAAAUAGACAUGACCCCAAGCACAAACAUCCCCACACAGGCAAAUGUCUCCUGUAAACUGCCAUGGGUGAUUUCAUGGCAGCUGAACCUGGAGGCACUGGAACUGCAUCACCCACCUCUGAGGGUGCUGCUGUGGUAAACCUGUGUGAACAGCACUGGAGCAACACACAAACAUUGCCCUGGCAGGGCUCAUCCAGCUGCUCCAGUUUUGGGACUGCAGCAUGGGCCCUACAUUUCCUGAAGACCGAAGGGAAAUUCCUGUCCCCUUAUGCAGAUGGCCUAACUUCCAGCUCUUGGUAUGCUCGGUGGAACCUCAGUGACUCUUGCUACCUUUGCCACACCUAAAUUAUUGUGACAUUCAGCUGGCAGGUGGGAGCCAGGAAAUGUGGGAAAAGUUGCCUUUUCACCCUUAAGUGCUGAGGAGCUCAUAGCCAAGCAGCCACACCCCAGACAUGCUGAGGAGCAGAGAGAUGCAGGAGGAGCUGCAUCUGCUUAGCACCUCCAGCUCCAAGCCCACAGAGCACACUCGGAGAUCAACCUUUUCCCAAAGCUUUGGCUCAAACCCUGGUGCUCCUGGAGCAGCCCUGAGCUUGCAGCAGAAGUGGACGGAGACCUGAGUCCAACUUUGGUGAGCAGGAUUGGGAAACAGGAGCUCUACAGCCACACACCACCCACAAAAUGGGUGUGGAUGGCUGGAGGCUGUGCUGGGUCCCUAAAGGAGUGGAGGGUUAUUACCAGAUGUGGGUAUGGCCCCACAUGGGAGAUGCAGCUGGACCUCCAGGACCCGGGGCAGCCUGGAGAGGAGAAGUAUGAGAGACCUUACUACCCACACUUCACAUGUGGGAAACCAGCAGGGCAUUUAUGGGAUUAGAUGCAGAAGGAAAAUCUUCAAGGCAGUAGCUCUGGGACAGGAAAAAAUGAGGAAAUUCACACAGUAUCCCUGAGUGACUGUGCCCACAUCCUGGGGGAUGCAUUGGCUAAGGAAGGCAAGGUCUCUACCAGGUCAUCCCAAUGUUAAUGACCCAGGUAUUUUGAAAUCAGAAAUACAAGCAGCUGCAGUGAGGGCAGUGAAAACAUGGACAUGAUGUGGCUCCUGGCAGAAUUGUUCCCUAGUGCACAAAUACUAAUGAAGACAACUUCAAGCUUGAGGUGCUAGUCUGGUUCUUCAAACUCAGGGCAGAGCAGAAGGCAAAGUGGUCUUGUGGGCAGAAGGAAGUGAUGGCCCUGCCCAGAGGACACAGCCCAUCAGUCCUUCCCCACCAGCCUCCUGCCUCUUCCCCUUGGCUGUCACUAAGGCAAAGAGCCAUCCCUGCUAUCCCGUGCCUGAGGUUUGGGAUGAAACUUCACAGAUGAAACUUCCUCCUGUUCCCUCCAGGAGGCCCCAGUGCCAGGGCUACUCCAUCACCCUUGCCAGGCUGUGUGGUCCCUUCACCUUUUGGUCAAGCCUUUGACCCAAUUUUUAGCAUUAGCACCAUGCUGACAAUCCUUUGGUCCUUCAGAUUUCCCACCCAGGAGCUUGGUUUUUUUGCAGGAAGCAGCUGCACAAUCAGACUACCAGUGGGCUGGGUCUGAGACUGGGUCCUGGGUUUGCUGCUCUUCACUGGUCAGUGACAUCUGCAAGGUGAGAGAGAAGAAGCCAGUCCUGUCCCUGGUGUGGCCAUAGACCCUCAGCACUGCAGCACAGCUCUGGCUCUGGAAAUGGCCCUCCUGCACAUGGAGAGCCAGGAAGUGCCUGGGAUAUCCCAGACCCAGGCGCCUCGCUGUGGCUUUGGGAGGUGAGGGCUGCUAACUCCCAAGCUCUGAAGCCUCUCUGAGUUGUUUGUGGAAACACUAGUCAAAGAAAAGAGGUGCUGAAAAAUAAACUAUAAAAUGAAGUGGAGUAGUAACUGUCCUGGGUAGAGGAAUCUCAGAAAUGUCAUGGCCUUGACUGCCCUGGUGGGUAAGAGAGCUCUGGGUAUUCACAGCCCUGCUGAGUCCUGGGAGGCCAGCUAGACCUGGCUUUAUUGGCCCUGGUUCUCCUUUUAGUUUUAUCCAAAUGGCCAGACUACUGAGGUACCAUUCAAAAUGUGCCUUUCUGCCUUUUCUGCCUUGCAUCACCCUCUGUGCUCAAGCCCUGCUGUUCCCGUGGGUCAUUCCUUUGGGCACGUUCAUGGCUCUUGGUUUCUCUGACUUAGAAGAUGAGAUGGCAGCUUUUAAAAGCAUUUGUAUUUUCCCCAAUGCCUGGAGUGAAACUGAGGUCAGAAACAUUUCUGGGCAUGAAAUAUGCCUCUGAGCAUGUUAGGAUUUUGUUCCAUGAGGAUUUCUUGGCUUCCAGAAGGUAGAAGCAAAGGAUUUGGAAAAAGACAACUUCUGUUCUGCAGCACUCCCUGAGCAGCAACCUACCACCAAGCCAAUCAGUCAGGGCAGCAUAGCAGAGCUCAAAGCUUGGGACCUGGUUGUUUGCAAGGCAGAAAAGACAAGAUUCAUCCACUGCCUCUUCUCUCCUCCUGGCAACCCUCAUUGUAUUUUGGGCAAAGAUGCUCAGACUCAGUGCUGGUAACUGUUCUAGAAACAUGCAGCCCCAGGAGACCGAUGGAGCUGCAGUGGCAGGGAGGGAAUGACGUGGAUACACGUGGUGAGCAAAAUCUCCAGGGGUCACAUCAGAGAUGUACUGUACCCAGACCCAGCUCUUAUUCAGGACACACUUCCUGCACAUGCAGGAUUGCUGAGAUCUCAGCCUUGGCAAUGCUUAUAAGGAUGCUCCUUUUCCUCUAGAGCCUCCUAGCUGUGAAGAUCCCCUGCAAGGGGACAGGAAGUCAUAAAAAGGGACAAGAUGAUCAGUAUUUCACAUUUUCCCAAAGGAAACUAGAGUUAAAUUCACCAUGCAUCUGUACAGCUCCAAGUAGAGCUGGACACUGCUACAUCACAGGGACAAAGUGGCUCCUGGCUCUGUACCAUGGCCACACAGUACAUGUCCCUGGUGCCAUCAGUCACCAGCAGGGAGAGGGAUGCUCAGCCAAGGUGCUUCUCAAAGGAGCCCUUUGUUUUUGUCGAGAUGUUUCAUUUCAGGGCAUGAUGAGGGCAUGCCAGAGACAGGCAGGGCUGCAGAGUAUUGAGUUUUCUAAAUGCACAGAACUGCCCAGUUCCCCCUGCAGUGCCAGAUCACACCUGGCCUGCCAAUCACAGUGAGUUUUGUGCAGCUGCUGGGAUGUCCCACCUGAGAUACCUCUCAGGGUGCUGUCAUGCCUCUAAGCACCCCAGGCCAUUGCUGGGAGCCACUGAUGGUCACCACUCCCACAAUUUGGGCAGCUCUGGCCAGGCGCAAAUGUGUUCAGCCUCUGGAGGGCUAUUUGGCUUCAGUUUCAUAUUCUUUGUUUUGAAGGCACAGUUCCUCAGUGCAAUGCAACAUACUUGAGAGUUUGAAGGCUCCAGGAUCAGCCAGAGGAAAAUCAGGAGGCCUGGCAUCCCAUGCCUGGGGUUAUUUAGGACCCUCCUUGCUACUAGGGAUGCCUUACAGCUGCUGCCUGCAUGCUGGUCUUUGGGGGGACAACCAGAGCAAGCUCCCUUAGCUCUGUGCAGGGAGUUUCUGCCCAGUUUUGGUGUGAGGACACUGGCUGAUGGUUAGGAGGCCUUUCAUGGUCCCCACAGCUCAUGGAUAACGCUGGGGGCCAGUGACUUGCCAGCACAGGCCCCGGUACUUACUCAUGCUGCUGCUGACAGGUACCAAAUCCAUAGUGCAAGAGGUAUUUGAUGUAAGGAGCCUUUGGGAAUGGGGUUUUCCCCUCAACACUGCAGUAACUCCAGGUAUUUGCUCUUUUCAAGUCAAAACCAUCUGAGAGCCCAGAGCUGAAGAGAUACUUUGCACAGUUGCUCAGUGACCCGAACUGCUGAGCCGGGCUCUGCCUGCCUCCCCUCCAGAGCUAAUGACCCUCUCAACCACAGCAGGACCUGGAUCCACACCAGGGAUGAGUCGGCUUCACCACAGCUGUCAUCUCCAAUGCUUCAAGGCUGUCUCACCCAAUCUGACCCCGUGAAGCGUGUCAGACUCACCUCUCCAGACCUCUGGCUGCACCAGCUCUCAGCUCAGCGCUGCUCACAUCACACUGUUAGUGGGGAGCAAGCGGGUCAUUUCUGUUCCUUUACCACAAACCCCACUGCAGACCCCCAGAGAAGAAAUAAGUGUUACCCCUGGGUGACAGCUCUGAAGCCAGCUCACCCCUCACCCUCAAGGCCACUGUGCAAGUUCAGCACACUCCAGCUUUUCCCCAAUUCUGACUUCUUCAUUUUGUCCCCAAACUUUUCAAUCAGCCCUCCACAACACCCCUGUGCAAAGCUUUGCAUGGAUGGCACCAAUUCUCCCUUUUCCUGUCUCACCUUCAAGCCCUGCAGCUGAGUGGGACCAGCAGGGCAGGCAGCACACCCACAUUCACACUGGGGCGAGCCAAAAUCCCUCCCCAGCCCCUUGUGCUGUGGGCAGAGGCAUCCACAGGGGGAGAGCGGGGGGACAGCCGGUGGCGUCGCGCCCACGUGAGCCACUCUGGGCCAGGAGCAAGGAGCUAUUUCUGGAGAAGCGCUUCUCGGGGAGCAGAAGCAGCAGAACUCAGAAGCACUGACCGAAAAAGAAAGGCCCUGGUGUUUUGAGCAGGAAGUGAGGUUUCCCAGCCUCCCGCCGGGAAGGACGGGAGACAUCCUUGCAAAAAUAAGAGAGGACUGCGGUGCUCUGUGGCAGCAGGGCUCCAGAGGAGCUCAAAGGCUACUUCAGCAAGACCGUAAACACGCCAGAUCUGCUGUUGUUGCAGAGCUCCGUGAAAUCAGCGAUGUCUGAGCGGAGUUCAGCUGGAGAGCGCUGGUGCUAUAAAAAACAAAGUGACUUUGGGCUUUGACGCUUCCUCCUGACACACAAAAAGGUGAUUUGUGAUUCAAAAGACAAGGAAUUUAUCAUCAAAAGGAGCUGGGACAGAGCUCAGUGUUUACACAUGGAAGAACAAGACAGGCACCAAGAGCAGAUAUAUUUAUACUCAUCCAUUAAUAAAAGAAGCCAAGUCAACCAUACCUUUGUGCUAAAGUUAGAGCACAGCACUCUGCAUGUCCUUAAAAAGGCAAGAAAGUUUCCACAAACUGGGACAGCUGCUCCCAGUGCCGGCUCUGUGCACCUCCUCCUUGGCACUCUGGCAUCAGUGUGCUGCAGCAGGAAAGGGGCCAAGCAUGGCAAGGCUUCUCCAAGUGGGAAGGCUGACUCCUAGAGUCUGGUCAUGGGCUGGUGGCCACUGCAUCUCAGGAGCCAGACAGUCCCUGCUGCACUGAGAGAGACCUGCAGGAGAUGACUGCCUCUUGCCAGAAACAAAAACCCUCCAGUAUACUUUCAGCUCUAGUAUUCUCAUUGCUUCCCUGGUUAUGGGGCUCACACAAGCCAGGAGCUUUCUCCUCUGCUGCAGGUGGAAUGGGGGAAUGCUGGGCUUGGCACGCUCAGGCUGGCUCUGUGGGCAAGGAACUGGUUUGUGGGGAAAAGCAAAGGGAAGAGAAGCAGCACUCAAGGGUUCCAGGUUUGAGUCAAAGGGUCAGUGCAAGGCCAAGGUGGACAGAGAGCACCCAGGACAGAGGAUGGUCCAUCUCCAGUGAAGUCAGCAAUAGGGCUGGAUAAUGCAAGUCACUGGAAGGUCCUGGAUUAGUAUUUGGCAUUUCUUAACCCACAGCUACAGUUGGAGUUGCCUGGCUUCACCUGCCGUGUGCUUGGGAAUGUUACACCAAUUGGCAGGAAAGACACAGAAAGCCAGCUCUCUGUUCCUUGGGAGGUGCUUCUAGAAAGCAAUCAAUUAUCCUUCCUGACAAGUAACAGAUGAGCUCUCACAGUUGUUUUCCUGUUUCCCUUCUCUUCCCCCACCCAGUUCCAGCCCUCAAACCAUGCUGGAAGCAGCAGGAGCCAGCACUGGAUAUGCUAUGCCAGAAAUGAUUGCGUUUCAGGCAAACUGAGAGCAAUCACAAAAAAUACAUCUUGUCUAAAUCAAAGUUAAGCACGUUGCAGUUUUUCUUCUCCACACCCCAGUGAAACAGCUGCAAGCAACAAGCAAGCCCGGCUGCACAGGGCAGGAAACAGCUGCAGCACACAGCAGAGCAGGGGUCACCUCUCACCUCCCAGGACACUGAGGUUGUUGGCACUGCAGAAUGCAUUUCCCCUCUGAACUCACACAGAAGAUGCUACAGUUACAUGAACUGUACCUUGACUGACCUUUGAGCAAGAUAUAGCACUAGAUGGCCUCCACAAAUCUCUUCCAACCAAAUUAUUCUACAACUUUGCAAAUUUCUGCAUAAAGACAGAAAGAGGGCAUGCAAAUAACUCUUCCUCCCACACCAGCUCCUAAGCUAAGCUCUCCUAUCAAAGGGAUGCUCAGGCUGCUAUCUCUGAGCCAGUACAGUCAAUAGAAGUCCAGUGGCAAAAUCCUGACAAGUCAGCUUUGCUACUGGCACAGGGAUCAGGACUUCUUCCUCAGCUUUUGGGUCAAAUCUCCUGAUGCAGCUCAUCAGUGCCAGCCUAAGAUGCAGCCUUAGCUGUCACACUAACCUCACCCUUGAGCUCUUCUGCUAGUUCAGUUUGAAUUCAUAAAUCAUUUCAAUAUGAUCCAAAUGCUUUCCAGCAAAUGUUACCAUUUACUGACUCCAUCCCACCCUGCAGCAGACAGGCACAGCUGUGUGGCACUGAGGUUCUCACUUGGCAGCCACGCUGGUGGACCUGUACCAAGCCCCCUGGUACAGAGCCCACGCCAGGGCUAUUGCCAAACCCUCUGCCCAGGUCCUUCCUGGUGACAGGGGCACUGUCACUCAGGUGAUGCUACCUACACACACAGAAACAAGCACCAUGGCCCACGAUCAGCUGUGACUAAUGUGAUUUGUCUAUUCCUUAUUACAAUUAUUUACAGCUUAUAGGAAGGGGGAUGCAUUAAAUCAGCCGUGUUUGCUUCCUCAACCAGCUUGCAGUGCAUUUAAAGAACCUCUGCUUCCUUUGGUGAGCUCUGCUUCUGAUAAAGCAUGUUGAGCAAUGCUGAAUAUUACAACACAUUUACUAAUUAGUGAAUUACAAAUUACUUUGACUAAUUAGUAAAUUCCAGGAUCAGCCAUUUUACAGCUUUGCUGUGAAACAAGGGUAGGCUGGAAGACCUAGAGCUCCUUUCCUGUGCCUCUGAAGCCUGCCUCUGCAAUACCUUCUCCCAGCACCGCGGAGCUUUCUUUCAAGACCUUUCCCAUUUCCACUGAUGCAGAAUCCCUUAACCAGCUUUUCUUCAACCAUUAUUCAGCCCUGAUUUCCAAGCAUCUAAUUUUAGCAGUCACUGUUGAACAUCCUCUUGAGUUAUUGUUAGAAUGAAAUGAGGAUCAUCUGACAGGAACGUAUCCUUGGUAAAUACUGGGAAGGAAUACUUAAGGAGCUAGCACACCUUCCUGCAUCAUAAUCGACAAUCCUACUGCCCAGGCACACACCUUAUCCCACCCUUUUUUGUUCCUGGUACCUUGCAUUUCCAAAGGCAAUUAAAGCACCAGCCUCAACUGUACUAGGCAUAUUUGGCUGUGUAAUUUUGCUCAGUUAUUGUUUCAAUAAUCACUUUCAAUUAGCCACAGGGAUUUAUUAUUUGCUAUUUUUAGGAUCAUUUCAGUUUUAAAGGCACCUGAUUACACAGAUCUAUAUUUGCAUGACAUCUUUCACUGGAGGAUUUGUAAGUACUAUGUGGAAUGUGAAUGAAUUUCUGCUUGUCUGCAGCAAUGCUCUUUUUACAGACAGGACAACAGGGGCAGUAAUUAAAAGACAUGUCCAAACUCCCAGAGGAAAUUUACACUGACAGAGGAACCCCAGCUUCCAGCGGUGUGUGUUAACUAUUACACCUGUGCUAACACAGACAGAGCAAGGUUGGCCACACAGGCACUAAAGGAGAUGCAGAUAUGUAAUUUGAAAUGGUUGUCUCUCCUUCCACAUUAACAGGCUCAAACACCAACUAGGCUUGAAGACAAAAAAAAAAAUUAAAAAAGCUUCUUAUCAAAUACCAAACAAUUGGCCCUUCUCUGCUAAUAACAAGCAAUGGGAAAGAAUGGCAGGGAAAGGUGUGGAUUUUCUGAGGUUGGUAUAGGAACAGAUGGGGCUGGGAUUUUGCCAGCGUGAGUUGCCAAGGCCCUUUAUCACUGCUAAGAAGAUCCAAGCUCCCGGCUCGUUCUUCACACAGCUUCCCUUCUUUGCAUUUUACCUGCCAGGGCAAUGCACCAGCGAAAUCCAUCCAGAUGUGCUGAAAAACAAACAACACAGGGGAGCCAGCAGACUGGUGUUUCUCUCUUUUAUUUAAAAACAGUGCUUCAUUACCAUUUGCAAAGGGUUAGGAAGGGUUUCCCCCCUUGCUUAGAGUUUAUAAAAGCCAGCAACAUGAUCAAUAAUUUAUACACAUGGAUAGUAAUACAAAAAAAAGGAAUAAAAGCUAAAGAUCUAACUACUCCAACCUUCACAAUUCCAGCUACUUGAUAAUAAUAGGAAUAACCCAAUGAAUACUGUAUGGUCUGAAAGCUACUAUACAAUAUGAUACUUAACGAGGGAGGGCGGGAAGUUAAAGGCUGUCACAAAGCCCUGGGAUGCAGAUACUGCUUCUCCAGAGUCAGCAGGGAAAUGGGACCCUGGGCAAGCGGCUCGGGCGUCCUAGGAAAUGAUCCAGGGGAAGGGAACGCAUCCCCUCGGGACACGCCCUGCUCCCCGGGGUACCUGGAAUGGGAGGUGCUGGGGAGACUGCGACAAGGGGCAAGUCUGUUGCUGCCAUUGGAGGUGCUGUGGCAUCUCAGCCUCGCACUGAAAAUCUCCAAGUCUCAAAGAGAUCAGCCUGUGAGGUCAGUAAAAUACUCCACCAGCUCUGUAUCACUCUAUAGCCCUGAUUCUCAUAUGCUAUCAGCCCCAGGUUUUAGCUCCAGCUAUUUACAAGCAGGAUUUAUCAUAUAAAAAAAACCAAACAAACCAAAAACCAAACAAAGCCUAACAAAAACCCCAAACAAACAAACAAACAGGAAAACCCAAGGAAAUAAAACAAAACGAAGUCAUAUCCCCUAGGGUGAAAGAGGAUGAUUUUGUCACUUGAUAAUGCAGCCAAAUUGAGCUGCCAAAACUACAACACUCGCACACGCAAAAUACUGUGAACAGAAAAAAAUAGAAAAAUAUGACCAGAACUGAGACUACUAAUGUGGGAGGCCUGAUUUCUGUAAGGAAUUUACUCCUCAGGGAAGCAACAAGCCUCUCCACCAGCAGAGAACUGGGAAUCUGGCAAGACGUUUAUUGACCCACUUCAGAGCAUCAACAAAAAUUUAAAAAGAAAAAACAUUCCUAAGAUUAACAGGCAUUUUACUGACUCUGACUGCCAGCCAAAUGAAUAUCUUGAUGGACGGCUUUAGACACCAGCAAUCUCCUGGUGAAAUCAGGCAAGGAUUUUGGCUGAUGCAUUCCUGCUCUAUCACAAGUUGAGAGGCAGCGUGGGAAGCUGGUCACCUGCACAAGCCUGGGCCAGCUGCAGCCCAUGGCCCCAACAGGACAGCCACAGGCAGAACUGGCAGCCCCAGCAAGAAGCUGUCGUCCAGGGUCAGCAGUGGCAACAGAGACAGGACUCGGCCAUGCUGAGUCCCGUUCAGGCUGCCACUGGUGCAGGCACUGCAGAGGGAUGGGGGCUCUCCUGACAGCUCCUGGCUGGAGCAAAGCACACCAGGCACAAAUCCCACAGCCUACUUGCAAAGGGCCCCAUUUCACACUGGCUAUCAGACUCCUGCUUGCCUUGUUGACUGGAGUUUUCAUUGUAGAAGAGAAGUUUACUGGGGUUGGAGGGUGGAGAGGGCAAUCAGUAAGGUGGGGAUGCAGGGAACAGGCUUUUCAGACAUUAACAUCACCAAAAAUAGUGUUUUAUGCAACAAAGAAUCAAGUCUCACUGGUGUAUACUACAAAAUGUUUGACAUUAUCCAAGAGCAUGUCAAAAAUAAAAACACAAAGAAGUUUACAUUGGAUGUUCAUCUUGUUCACUAGGUUGGUUCUCCCCCCACCCUCCUAUUUUAAAACAGUGCAAACAGGUAAAACACUUUAAAAAUCACCCCUCUACACCAAGGACAGCAUUCCCCCACCCUGCCAGGCUGGAGGGUCACAGGCAGCAGGUCCUCUGCCAGGCUGUCUGUGUGCUUUCCCUUUGGAGCUAGAUUCAGUAAAAGCACUCCCCAAAGCUGUUGUUUGGGUUUCCCUUUAUUAAAUUCCUAAGUGCUCCCCAAACCUGUUUUCCACUUGCCUCCAUCUUCGUGGCUAGGAUGGGAAGAUACAGAUAGGGAUGGGCUGGGGAAAAACAUGGGUAGAACUGAGAGGCUCUGCUUUGUAUUCCCCACUGAGAGAGCUCUGGGUGCUGGAAUUGAAAGCCCAGCAGCCAGUGUCUCUCUUCAGACAGGGAAAUGGCUUCAUUAACCGUUCCACAACCAGCACUCAAACCAGCUACUCAGAAAUCCCUCCUCAGCUCUCGCUGUACACUUCACAUCCAUGGAUCUCAAGAACAGGUAAGAACAGGGAUAAACUUCAACUUCACUUUAGGGACAGGGAAGCAAAGUCUAAAGUAGCAACAUGACUGCCCCACAGGGACCCUUGAGGGGUCACUGACAGAGCCCUGUCUGAAACACAGGUCUCAGACUCCAGAGCCAGUGCUCCUCACUGGGCAAAUCUGCUCCCUCUCAGGCACUGGAACAGCCAAGCCAUAGCUAUCUUUAAACAUGGCUUUGUCUAUCUGAACUCAUGACCCAGGACCCACCUAACUGCUUAACCUGGGAAAAGCUGGCUACAGUAGGCUCAUACCGAGCUCCCCAUUGCCUCCAGGUCCUGUCAUGGCUUUUCUUAGAAAAGCUAACUCACCUACAACAGUGCAGCCUCCCAUACACGGGCACAGAACAGUUUGCCAACGUGCUGGGCACCAAUAUAACUUAUUCCCAGCAGAGAAUAUGCUAUGCCAGUAGUAGUUACUUUAUACCAGCACAACUGUAACUGCAAGGAAAUACAGACCAGCACAUUAAAUAAACCAACUCUUCAAACCAAAACUUCAUCUGGGUAUCAUCGUGUGCUGGCUGGAC